GUGGAAAAUGGUGAAGUGAUUGCCAUGUUGAUAUAGCAAAAUGCCUUUUUGAUGCUAUCUCUAGAAUGGAGAAGGCUGCUGAGCAAGGAAGUGCAAUUGCUGCGCAGUGGAAGGAGUUGAACGCCAGUGGGGAAACAAUGCACCAUAUGCCUUCAUAGAAACUUUGAGGAGCAGAUGUUCAAAGCCGUCAUUGUCAACUAUUUCUGAAAAUUCAAAGGUUGCAAUUGUUUCAUCAUCGGAUCCUGUCUGUGUUGCUGCAAAAAAGAUGCGAGAUCUGCGAGUUUAGUUCAGUUGUUAUA
This is a long non-coding RNA of Hibiscus syriacus, 299 nucleotides long. RefSeq lists it as uncharacterized. NCBI's taxonomy places the organism in Eukaryota, Viridiplantae, Streptophyta, Magnoliopsida, Malvales, Malvaceae. The record is from RefSeq and is a predicted model, not a curated record. The transcript is spliced from 3 exons.